GGGGGGGGGGGGGGGGGGGGGGGGGGCGGGCGGGGGGAGCGGGGGGGGGGGGGGGGGGGGGGGGGGUGGAGGGGGGAGCGGGGGAGGAACACGUGAGUAGCCUGCCCUUGGCUGUGGGAGAACUUCAGGAAACUGGGGCUAAUACCGGAUAGGAGCUCCUGCUGCAUGGUGGGGGUUGGAAGGUUUCGGCGGUUGGGGAUGGACUCGCGGCUUAUCAGCUUGUUGGUGGGGUAGUGGCUUACCCAGGCUUUGACGGGUAGCCGGCCUGAGAGGGUGACCGGCCACAUUGGGACUGAGAUACGGCCCAGACUCCUACGGGAGGCAGCAGUGGGGAAUAUUGCACAAUGGGCGGAAGCCUGAUGCAGCAACGCCGCGUGCGGGAUGACGGCCUUCGGGUUGUAAACCGCUUUCGCCUGUGACGAAGCGUGAGUGACGGUAAUGGGUAAAGAAGCACCGGCUAACUACGUG
RNAcentral lists this ribosomal RNA (468 nucleotides) under uncultured bacterium. Its description in RNAcentral is "partial 16S ribosomal RNA". The stretch from base 61 to 468 matches the Rfam family "Bacterial small subunit ribosomal RNA", at positions 39 to 507 of the family's 1533-position model. The record is from RNAcentral.